AGAGUUUGAUCCUGGCUCAGGAUGAACGCUAGCUACAGGCUUAACACAUGCAAGUCGAGGGGCAGCAUGGUCUUAGCUUGCUAAGGCUGAUGGCGACCGGCGCACGGGUGAGUAACACGUAUCCAACCUGCCGUCUACUCUUGGCCAGCCUUCUGAAAGGAAGAUUAAUCCAGGAUGGGAUCAUGAGUUCACAUGUCCGCAUGAUUAAAGGUAUUUUCCGGUAGACGAUGGGGAUGCGUUCCAUUAGAUAGUAGGCGGGGUAACGGCCCACCUAGUCAACGAUGGAUAGGGGUUCUGAGAGGAAGGUCCCCCACAUUGGAACUGAGACACGGUCCAAACUCCUACGGGAGGCAGCAGUGAGGAAUAUUGGUCAAUGGGCGAUGGCCUGAACCAGCCAAGUAGCGUGAAGGAUGACUGCCCUAUGGGUUGUAAACUUCUUUUAUAAAGGAAUAAAGUCGGGUAUGCAUACCCGUUUGCAUGUACUUUAUGAAUAAGGAUCGGCUAACUCCGUGCCAGCAGCCGCGGUAAUACGGAGGAUCCGAGCGUUAUCCGGAUUUAUUGGGUUUAAAGGGAGCGUAGAUGGAUGUUUAAGUCAGUUGUGAAAGUUUGCGGCUCAACCGUAAAAUUGCAGUUGAUACUGGAUGUCUUGAGUGCAGUUGAGGCAGGCGGAAUUCGUGGUGUAGCGGUGAAAUGCUUAGAUAUCACGAAGAACUCCGAUUGCGAAGGCAGCCUGCUAAGCUGCAACUGACAUUGAGGCUCGAAAGUGUGGGUAUCAAACAGGAUUAGAUACCCUGGUAGUCCACACGGUAAACGA
This 814-nucleotide ribosomal RNA is filed under the name uncultured bacterium. RNAcentral's name for it is "bacterial SSU rRNA". It matches the Rfam family "Bacterial small subunit ribosomal RNA", at positions 8 to 809 of the family's 1533-position model. The record is from RNAcentral.